AAAUUGUCAAAUCCGCAAACACAAAAUCGUUGCUGGUGUGCGUCGCAUUUGUGUCUUUAGUUUUCUGCUUUGUGGUCGCUCUCGCUGAGAUGCUGAUGGUUGCAAAAUAAUUAAUUUGAUUUAAUUUGAUUACUGUUCCCGCCAUCGUUAUAAUCCGAAGAUAUGUCGUCCCGACGGAGCUUAUUCCCGGCGAGAUUCCCGGCUCGUUUGCUUCGCUGCAAAGUCAAUGCAUUCCGGCGGCGAUCAAUCGAUUGGAAUAGGGAAAAACUCAAAACAAGAACGGAACGGUUGAUGGCGGAUGAAAAGGCCAGUUGGUCAGCAGUGAGCCGAACGUAAUCACAAAAGAUGUACUAAGUAAAUAAGCCUACAACUCAAGAUGAAAACGACGAAUAAAUUGAAAUAGCCGAGGGAAUGCCUGGUUCAGCAGAUGCCAACGGCUUCACCGUUUCCCGAUAAAACUACCCUGGUAUUGAUGAAUUUUUAUUAAACAGUGUUUAAAUAUUGUUUUAAAUAAACAAGUAAACUCAAAUCGAUAUUAAAUAAAACAUGUUUCAAAAAAGAA
This is a long non-coding RNA of Armigeres subalbatus, 562 nucleotides long. RefSeq lists it as uncharacterized. NCBI's taxonomy places the organism in Eukaryota, Metazoa, Arthropoda, Insecta, Diptera, Culicidae. The transcript is spliced from 4 exons. The record is from RefSeq and is a predicted model, not a curated record.